RNAcentral lists this long non-coding RNA (724 nucleotides) under Homo sapiens (human). Its description in RNAcentral is "non-protein coding lnc-USP9X-3:1". Lineage: Eukaryota; Metazoa; Chordata; Mammalia; Primates; Hominidae. The record is from RNAcentral.
AGAAAGAUGAGGAGACUUUUUUGACUUACAUUUGUAAAUGAAAACAAGUCUGUGAAUAUUCAGAUGACUACUUCGAAGUAAUUCAGUUUUUUUAUUAGUAUUUUUCCAGCUUAUGUUUUCCCAUGAGCUAUUUUACUUUGCUGAAUUUUGUGGGUAAUUUGGUGGAUAUAUCCUGCCUUAUUUAGGAUUAUAGCUGGAUAAGAAAAUUGCCUUUUCAUUGUAAGUGCCCAGUUUUGGUCUCUAGUUUGAAGGUACUACAUACUGCCGAUAAAGGAAAACACUCCCCUACACCCCAGUUUUUGUGUUACCAAGAAAAAAAAAACAGUAUUGGUUUCAUAGUAGGACUCAACCAGAAUUGGUCCUACAUAUAUGUGAGUGUUCAGUUUUUGCAAAUAAGGUUUUUGAGUGUGAUAAAACACUACAGAAGUGCUAAGUGUAUUGAGAAUUUGCUGCUGAUUGUAUUUAUAACAAUUACUUGACGUUUGCAGAAAUUUAGCACUUUCCCUCCAAAUUUAUAGGUGUAAGAGAAGCGGGGGCAAGGUGCACCACAUUUUAAAACUGCAAAUGUGUGAAAAUUUAUUUAGAGAUUCAGAUUCCUAAAAGGAAAUUUCACCACCCAAGUCAUGCACUUCUUAGCCUUUUACAAGCCAACAGACUGACAUGAAGAUUGUUCACAGUUCCUAAGAUUUAGCACAUAUACAAAAAUAAAACUUUAUAAAUUCAA